RNAcentral lists this ribosomal RNA (506 nucleotides) under uncultured bacterium. Its description in RNAcentral is "partial 16S ribosomal RNA". It matches the Rfam family "Bacterial small subunit ribosomal RNA", at positions 28 to 523 of the family's 1533-position model. The record is from RNAcentral.
GAUGAACGCUAGCUACAGGCUUAACACAUGCAAGUCGAGGGGUAACGAGAGGAAAGCUUGCUUUCCUUGUCGACGACCGGCGCACGGGUGAGUAACGCGUAUCCAACCUGCCCCCAACUAGGGAAUAACCUUGCGAAAGUAAGACUAAUACCCUAUAAUCUCCUCAGAUGUCAUCUGACGAGGAAUAAAGAUUUAUCGGUUGUGGAUGGGGAUGCGUCUGAUUAGCUUGUUGGCGGGGUAACGGCCCACCAAGGCAACGAUCAGUAGGGGUUUUGAGAGGAAGGUCCCCCACAUUGGAACUGAGACACGGUCCAAACUCCUACGGGAGGCAGCAGUGAGGAAUAUUGGUCAAUGGGCGGAAGCCUGAACCAGCCAAGUAGCGUGCAGGAUGACGGCCCUAUGGGUUGUAAACUGCUUUUAUACAGGAAUAAAGUUAGCCACGUGUGGUUAUUUGUAGGUACUGUAUGAAUAAGGACCGGCUAAUUCCGUGCCAGCAGCCGCCGUAA